AGGAUAGGUUCUAAAGAGAUCAGACGACGCAGACACAAAUCAGAUGAAGCAAGAAAAAAGAAAGUGAUCUGGGGGAGCACUACUGGCCAGUGGUCCUGGAAAAAAGAUGUUUCUUCUCUUCAGGAGCGCUUGCAGUAGUUGCUCUCGUGUGCCCCCGCGGUGCUCUUCAUGUCGUGAACCAAGAUCUAUACGAUUUUACAAUUUCGACUUGUCUGGUUGUCAGGUU
This is a non-coding RNA of Caenorhabditis elegans, 226 nucleotides long. The record is from Ensembl. Lineage: Eukaryota; Metazoa; Nematoda; Chromadorea; Rhabditida; Rhabditidae.